Molecule: unclassified non-coding RNA, 159 nt
Filed under: uncultured fungus
Lineage: Eukaryota; Fungi
Description: sequence contains ITS1
Source: RNAcentral
GCGAAAUCCAAAAGGUUGGUGUCUCGACGCUUAACGGGUCGGGCCCUUCCGUCACCUCUCACACCUUUGUUGAACAGUCGGGGGUUGGUUAAUGCCUUCCCUCACCUUUUAAAACUCUAAAAGUCUCGGAAUGAAGUUAUGGUGAAAAACCAAAAAACA